UAGGUUUCAACUUGUCCCUUUGAGGAAUUGGGACAGUAGCAUAGGCAAGGCAGCCAAAAGCCUUUAAAUGAGAGUAAGUGGGUGCCUUUCCAUGCAAUAUUUCAUAAGGGAAUUUGCCAUGAAGAAGCCUGGAGGGUAUUCUAUUAAUAAGAUAAGUAUCAGUCAAUAGGCAAUCUCCCUAGAAAGAGAGGGGUAAACCAGAUUGGAAAAGUAAAGCUCUACAAGUUUCAAGAAGAGUCCUAUGUUUCCUCUCAACAACACUAUUCUGUUGAGGAGCAUGUGGGCAAGUGGUUUGGUGUAUGAUGCCAUGUUGACUAAAAAAGGAUGCACCAACAAUACUAGAUCCCAAUUCCAAAGCAUUGUCACUCCUAAUAGUUUGAACAAUAGCAUUAAACUGUAGGGAUAUGACCCAACCUCAAAUGCCAAAUGUAAUUCAUGUCAGUGGCAACCGUAUUAUUCCACAUGGAAUUGUUUACAUUCAAAGGUAAACUAACAGCUUGAUAACUAGAACAGUCAGGUUUACAAGAAUUAGAAGAAGAAGAACAUACAGAAAUAUAAGAACAACAAUUAGAAGAAGAGGAAGGUGGCACCCAAGCAAGCUUGUACAGACCAGCCUCAACAUACAGAAGCAGAAGAACAACAAUUAGAAGAAGAGGAAGGUGGCACCCAAGAAAGCUUGUACAGACUAGCCUCCUUUUUACCAAGAUCCAGAGGCAUCCUUAGAGAAGGGGCCUGUAACAUGUGGAGGAAACAGGAAGUUGCAGUGAACAAUACUAUGCAAUGCAACUGUUUUACUAACUUGUGGGCAGAAAUCAAGUUGUGUUUGAAAGAAGGAACAAGUAACGCAUCAUGAAGAGUGAUGAAUGGAUUUAAUGCAAAAGAUCCUGUGCAUGUCACUUUCACUUUAU
This 908-nucleotide long non-coding RNA is filed under the name Nicotiana benthamiana. RNAcentral's name for it is "long non-coding RNA (NBEN_LNC013225)". Lineage: Eukaryota; Viridiplantae; Streptophyta; Magnoliopsida; Solanales; Solanaceae. The record is from RNAcentral.